RNAcentral lists this long non-coding RNA (5055 nucleotides) under Sus scrofa (pig). Its description in RNAcentral is "lncRNA (ENSSSCG00015037176.1)". Lineage: Eukaryota; Metazoa; Chordata; Mammalia; Artiodactyla; Suidae. The record is from RNAcentral.
UUUUUUUUUUUUUUCUUCAAGUUGAGGACUUUGACUUUUUCACUUAAAGGAAGUGCUUUGUUUUCUUUCCGCAGAUCAGAUGUGGCUUCUCUUUGGCUUCAGAUUUGGAAGCUGAAGUUCAGGUCAGCACUCAAGAUCUCCAGGGCCCUAUUCAGUGGCCCUGGAAUGACACUGCAGCGUCCCUGAAGUCAUCCUUGGAGUCCCGGGGAGUGGGGACCCACAUGCUGUGGCCAGAGUAGGGCAGGUAUCCAUCUGCCACUGACAGUGCUGUGAACGAACGCUGAGUUGCCAGCUUUGGAAUUACGUGGCUCCUGACAGGCUCUAGAAUGUGGUGUGAUGUGUAUUAUUUAAAUUCUGUGCAAAAAAUCAGACUUUUUAGCAUUUCCACGGAAAAUUUUGCAUACCUCUCUUAUUGAAUAUGAAUACACUGGUUUUAGCUUUUUACCAAGCCCAGCACCAUUCGUGUCACUAGGUUGUUGUUGAGAAAUGAAAGAGCAUGAGCCUGUGAUGAAGAUGUGCACUGUCCUUAGAAGCCAUUCUUGUAACAUCAAAAGGAUCAGCUUGUUCUAUCUUGGGGCACUGGGAAUAAACAGAGGCUUCUAGAUUAGAAAAGGAAGCCCACCAAGAGAGGGCAACAUUGGCCAACGGGGACUUGCUGUGUGGCACGGAGAACUUUACCCAAUAUUCUGUGAUUAUCUUUGUGGGACGAGAACCUGAAAGAGAACAGGUGUGUGUCUACAUACGACAGGGUCACUUUGUUGGACAGCAGAAAUGAUCACAACCUUGUAAAUGACCUUCACACCAAUAAAACAAACAAACAAAAGAACUUGAGAUAACAGAACAAUGAAAAAAGAAAAGGAAAGAAGAGUUCUCCUAACUGGCAACUCACACGUGUCCCCCACCAGGCCCAACGUCCAGCCCGGGGAGCCCCGACAGCCAAGGGACACUGGAUGCUUCCAGCUGUUUCCUCCUCACAGCAACGACUCCUACCCAGCUCCCCUGGAAAGGCAGCCAAGAAGAGUCAGCCUGCAGAAAGAGCCCUACAGCUGCAGGCUCUGACAUUUUAAUUCAUCAAAAUGCCUUUUGCAUCAGAAAAUGAAAUGUAUGUGUGUUCCCGGCUUGGCCUCUAACAUGGAUGUGAGCGACGAUAAAUAAGGCUACGCCUUCACUUAAGACGCGCUGCCACUUCCAGAGAACAGCCCGCAAUGCUUGUCACCUCAGUGCUCUGCCAUUUGCAGAACAGUUUGGUUGGAAGAAUUUUGGUGCUACCGUUUUUCUUUUACUGGGUAUUUCUUCAGGUUGUAUGCCUGAAAAAAUAUAAUGGAGUGUUUAAUGAUUUUUGUCCCGGUGCUUGGAGAGACUGCAGUGCUUUCGGAUGCCCAUGGCCACUCCGGGAUCCCAGGAGGCCGUGGCCAGAGCAGCAGGACUCAGCAGUGGGUCUGAGUCCAUCCAGCUGCGUCUGGAGAGGAGAGAAUGAACAGUUGGGCCCCCAGAAGCGCUAAGUCACUACCUUUCUGGCAGAGGCAGUGACCUUCUUGGAACCUAGCUGACUCCUUGAUGACACCCAGGUCUCCAUGGUAAGUGCUCUCCGCCUUUGAACGGAGGUCCCCAGCCAGUGGCUGGCCGUCUUCUCCAAGUCCACGGGCAGCCAGCCGGGCCAGCCUUGGAUGGUGUGUGACUCAGGGGCUGCCUGUGGGGUGAGAUGACCAAACAGACCCACGAGGCCUGGUGAUUCCAGAUUCCAGAGUCUUCAGAGACUGACGGAUUUUAAUUCAUCUGAAAACUACAUGAAAGCGGGUCCCUGGUUUCCUCUCUGCCCCUCUCCUCAUCCUUCCCACCUCUGCUCUUCCCCCACAGAGGUAAACCAUCAUCUCUGGAAAUGCUCUGUACAGAUACGGCCGUCUCCUCACAAAGGCUCACACCCCAAACCUGACGCAAGUGAGUCAACAUCGGGAACCAGAAGCCGGGCCCUGAGUUAUUUUUAAUCCCGCUAAACACAGAGGCCAUUGUACAUGCACCGUCUUCAGGGAAGGGGCAGCAAUUCCACCUGCUUACUGAUCCAAAGAGGAGGAAAUAAAAAAUACAACUGCAGCUGGUCUCCACACCCGGUUCUGUGACUCGUCUCACCUGCUGUAAGAUCUGAGAUGGCUCCACCUUCCCCAAUUUACUGGGCCACUCCAUCUGUAGGGCGUUUCUCUCCCCAAGUGACGUCUGCAGGGCAGCAGGGAGGGUCAGAUGGGCUCCGCACUUGGCAGCCCCUUCUUUGCGCCCCCCCCCAUCACCUGUUUAAGGUCUUUGAACUUGGCGUGCGUGGAGCUGUCACUCCUGUGCUGCAGGACUCUGUCAGACCCCCCUCAUUUCCAUCUGUUCCUCAAAACUGAGGUGACAAACAGAACAGAGGAGCCCCAACAACUUUCUGGGCCUGCGUGGUCCUCCCGGACAUUUCGAAUGCAGAGAAUCACAGGUGGGAGAAAGGCCCUGCAUGGCCCACACCUGUCUACACCUGUGCCCUGUCCAACACAGACACCACCUUCCCUGCCAGGCUUCAGCUGCCUGAGCAAUGGAAACUCAGUGCAAACCCAGAGGUGCUGUGAGUACAAACUAUGGCCUGGAUUUUGAUGACUCUAUACAAAAGUAAAGACUGUAAAAUAUUUCCUCAAUAACUAUUUACAUCUUGAUCUACAUGCUGAAAUGGUAUUUUGGAUAUAUUUGGUUAAAUUUCAUUACCAUUUUCCAGGCAGUCAUGGAGAGGCCAGGCCUCCUUGGAGGUCUUACUUUUGGGUUUUGCCAUUCUGCUCAGAACCCAUUAACCACCCUCCACCGCCACGAUCCCUCGUUCUGUGAACAGCAGUGCCCAGCUCACGUCCGCCACCCCAGGCCUCCCUCCCCUGUGUUCCUCCUGCAGGCCCCUCUCGGCCACCCUAUCAGGCAGCAUCUGGCUCUUACCCUGCCUCUCUGCUGCCCCCUCAGCAGCACCCGUGCUGUGUCCACCCCGUGCUAGACACCGAGUCUCAGUGUCUUCCCUGCACGUCUCUGUCCCUCUACCCAGCCCCACCCUUGGAAUGAAGCCCCCUCUCCCCACCGUGGGGGCUGCCCCCAUGUCUAGGGCCCCAGGGGCUUCUCCUGCUGCCCCUGCUGGCCUCCUAGCUUCCCAGCCUGGCUGCCUUCACCCACAGAGGCGCUUCUAAGGGUUUGUUGCCAACACAGCUGAGCCCAGGUAGAGUAAGUCAUUGAACAAGCAGGGGAAGUGGCAAGAAAUGCACGCUUCCUAGAGCAGGAUGCUGCCCCCACCACGGGAGGGAAUUGGCCCUGUUGCUUCUACUCGAGGGCAGGGCUUUGGUCCCUUCCUUUGAUCUUUUGCAGCAAACGCUCUUCUAAGGGGCCUUGAAUUCUAGAGUCAGUCCAUCGGUUCUGGGUUCCGUGCUCACAGCUCUCUCGCAGCCCAGGGCGGGUGAGUCCUGCCUCCUCAGGGGAUCCCAUCGGACCCUCACCACCUGUCGCCCUACAUGGAAGCUGUCUGUUUACUCUGCAGCGUCCAUCAGCAGAGCAUCAAUUCAAGGACCAUCAUUUCCGAUUCAGCCUUGCAUCCCCAUGGGGUAGCACAGACCUGACAUGUGAUACCAAGGGGUACAGAUGCUUCACACGGGAUGGGACUGCUGAGCUGUCUGAGGACUCUCACUGCAGAGACAAAUAGUGCUGUGGCAAAUGCUAACUUGCUCUGUGCCAGGAAAUGAGUUUCCAUCCUGCAGGCUCUCGUUUGCCAAAUAUACUCAUUACUGAAAAGGCUGGAAACGAACUCCUCAACUUGAUAUUUAAGAAGCAGAUAUUGCUUGGUUUCAUUUUAACAAAAAUGCAGAAAAAAACAUAUUAACUUUUGAUAUGUUAGUCAUCUAAUAAAGGACUUUAGUGCAGCAUAUUUUUUUGAUGGCUAAAGGGUGACCUUUUAGUUUAAUACCUGCUUCACACAGCUUGAGACAUCAUUAAUUAAGGUCUUUUGAUUGAAUACUACAACCCAGUCACCCAGCAUGUCUUUUUUUUUUUUAAAUCCUCUGAAAGACUGCUUCCUUCACUUGCAAAGGUGAGAGCAUAAUUGAAUGAACACGGAUGUCAGCCUGACCAGGAACUGGAGUUGCUCUUCUCAAAGCCGGCCUCCCUUUCCUGGGACCUCCCUGCCUCCUCCAAUAGCAGUUAUAGAAUUACAAGCCAGGUCAGGUUGGAACUGACAUAUGGAAAGGCCCUGCCAUCUUUACGGACAUGAGAGUGUGACACCGACAAAAAUGCUUCUGUGCGGGAAGAAACGUUCACUCCAGCGGUGGAUGGGAGCACAUCGAAAGGCAAAUGGAUUUGGAUGCAGAGCCCUCUGAGCUUCGGGUGGCAUGUGGGCCCUGUUGCCACAUGGGCAGCACAGCGAAACCAGUGCCAAAGCCCAGGCUGGUCUGCCAGCCAGGCUCUUAAUGUGCACAGUCCUGAUCACCUGGAGGCUGGGGGGCAGCGAAGUAAUAUAAGCACAAACCUUCAAAGCUCACAUGGCAGCCUCUGUGCUACUUCUGGAACACACCAGCAUGGCACCUGGUACAUGGGAAGUGUUCCACAGCUGACAGCUGACAAGUGACAAGGCAGGUGUCAGUGGUGGGAAGGAGCAGAACCACGGAAAGCUGAUGCCCCCACCACAGACAUGCCACAAGUGAUGCCCUGCUGGACCUGCCUCCUUGUUCCCUGUACCACCCUCUUCUCAAUCACUGGACACACUGUCCAGGCAAGGGGUCUGUGGGUGCUCAAGCUGAUCAGAGAACCAGGUCAAACUUAAGGACUCCACAGUUUCCUAGGCUCACGGUGAUGCCACUUGCCCAGGGCACAGCUGUGUGCCUGCCAGCAGGACAGCUCCGUCAGCAUGACCAAGGACACACUGGAAUGAACCCAGGUUCCAGGAUGAGCGGGCAUCAGAGAGCUUUGCCAGCCCCAGUCCAGACUUGGGGCCAGCUGGGGACCAAGGAAAAAAGCUUGUACUCUUUAUUUUUAUUUACCUCCCCCCCCCAUGACUUCUCAGGGGCGGUG